RNAcentral lists this ribosomal RNA (711 nucleotides) under uncultured bacterium. RNAcentral describes it as "bacterial SSU rRNA". It matches the Rfam family "Bacterial small subunit ribosomal RNA", at positions 54 to 749 of the family's 1533-position model. The record is from RNAcentral.
CAUGCAAGUCGAACGCGGUUACCCCGCAAGGGGUAACUGAGUGGCGAACGGGUGAGUAACACGUGGGUGACCUACCUUCGAGUGGGGGAUAACGUCCCGAAAGGGACGCUAAUACCGCAUAACAUCCCGCCUUUGAACAGGUGGAGAUCAAAGCCGGGGAUCGCAAGACCUGGCGUUUGAAGAGGGGCCCGCGUCCGAUUAGCUAGUUGGUGAGGUAACGGCCCACCAAGGCGACGAUCGGUAACCGGCCUGAGAGGGCGGACGGUCACACUGGGACUGAGACACGGCCCAGACUCCUACGGGAGGCAGCAGUGGGGAAUUGUUCGCAAUGGGCGCAAGCCUGACGACGCAACGCCGCGUGGAGGAUGAAGGUCUUCGGAUUGUAAACUCCUGUUGCUCGGGACGAAAUGCUCCAACCUAAUACGUUGGAGUUUGACGGUACCGGCAGAAGAAGCUGCGGCUAACUACGUGCCAGCAGCCGCGGUAAUACGUAGGCAGCGAGCGUUGUUCGGAGUUACUGGGCGUAAAGCGUGCGUAGGCGGUUUUCCAAGUCUGGUGUGAAAUCUCCCGGCUCAACUGGGAGGGUGCGCUAGAAACUGGGAGGCUGGAGUGCGGGAGAGGUAGGCGGAAUUCCUGGUGUAGCGGUGAAAUGCGUAGAUAUCAGAGAACACCGGUGGUGUAGACGGCCUGCUGGACCGUAACUGACGCUGA